RNAcentral lists this ribosomal RNA (253 nucleotides) under uncultured bacterium. RNAcentral describes it as "partial 16S ribosomal RNA". It matches the Rfam family "Bacterial small subunit ribosomal RNA", at positions 524 to 776 of the family's 1533-position model. The record is from RNAcentral.
UACGGGGGGGGCAAGCGUUGUUCGGAAUUACUGGGCGUAAAGGGCUCGUAGGCGGCCAACUAAGUCAAACGUGAAAUCCCUCGGCUUAACCGGGGAACUGCGCUUGAUACUGGAUGGCUUGAGAUUGGGAGAGGGAUGCGGAAUUCCAGGUGUAGCGGUGAAAUGCGUAGAUAUCUGGAGGAACACCGGUGGCGAAGGCGGCAUCCUGGACCAACACUGACACUGAGGCACGAAAGCGUGGGGAGCAAACAGG